AGAGUUUGAUCAUGGCUCAGAUUGAACGCUGGCGGCGUGCCUAACACAUGCAAGUCGAGCGGUAACAGGCGUAGCAAUACGUGCUGACGAGCGGCGGACGGGUGAGUAAUGCUUGGGAAUCUUCCCAGUAGUGGGGAAUAACUAGCCGAAAGGUUAGCUAAUACCGCAUACGUUCUACGGAAGAAAGCGGGGGCUCGUAAGACCUCGCGCUAUUGGAUGAGCCCAAGUCGGAUUAGCUAGUUGGCGGGGUAAAGGCCCACCAAGGCGACGAUCCGUAACUGGUCUGAGAGGACGACCAGUCACACCGGAACUGAGACACGGUCCGGACUCCUACGGGAGGCAGCAGUGGGGAAUAUUGGACAAUGGGGGAAACCCUGAUCCAGCGACGCCGCGUGUGUGAAGAAGGCCUGCGGGUUGUAAAGCACUUUUAGUGGGGACAAAAAGUUCAUGGCUAAUAACCGUGGAUCUUGAUUUAACCCAAAGAAAAAGCACCGGCUAACUCUGUGCCAGCAGCCGCGGUAAUACAGAGGGUGCGAGCGUUAAUCGGAAUUACUGGGCGUAAAGCGCGCGUAGGUGGUUUUGCAAGUCGAGUGUGAAAGCCCCGGGCUCAACCUGGGAACUGCAUUCGAGACUGCAUUACUCGAGUAUGGGAGAGGGCAGUGGAAUUUCCGGUGUAGCGGUGAAAUGCGUAGAUAUCGGAAGGAACAUCAGUGGCGAAAGCGACUGCCUGGCCCAAUACUGACGCUCAUGUGCGAAAGCGUGGGGAGCAAACAGGAUUAGAUACCCUAGUAGUCC
This 795-nucleotide ribosomal RNA is filed under the name uncultured bacterium. RNAcentral describes it as "bacterial SSU rRNA". It matches the Rfam family "Bacterial small subunit ribosomal RNA", at positions 8 to 796 of the family's 1533-position model. The record is from RNAcentral.